AGGGCACCACCAGGAGUGGAGCCUGCGGCUUAAUUUGACUCAACACGGGAAAUCUCACCAGGCCCGGACACUGGAAGGAUUGACAGAUUGAGAGCUCUUUCUCGAUUCGGUGGGUGGUGGUGCAUGGCCGUUCUUAGUUGGUGGAGUGAUUUGUCUGGUUAAUUCCGAUAACGAACGAGACUCUGUCCUGCUAAAUAGUUCCAGCGUCCUUAGUGCGCUGGAAAUUCUUCUUAGAGGGACUGGCGGCGUCUAGCCGCACGAGAUUGAGCAAUAACGGGUCUGUGAUGCCCUUAGAUGUUCUGGGCCGCACGCGCGCUACACUGAAGGGAUCAGCGUGUCUUCCCUCUCCGAGAGGAGCGGGUAACCCGCUGAACCCCCUUCGUGGUAGGGAUUGGGGCUUGCAAUUAUUCCCCAUGAACCAGGAAUUCCCAGUAAGCGCAAGUCAUAAGCUUGCGUUGAUUACGUCCCUGCCCUUUGUACACACCGCCCGUCGCUACUACCGAUUGAACGUUUUAGUGA
RNAcentral lists this ribosomal RNA (519 nucleotides) under uncultured eukaryote. Its description in RNAcentral is "SSU rRNA". It matches the Rfam family "Eukaryotic small subunit ribosomal RNA", at positions 1161 to 1704 of the family's 1831-position model. The record is from RNAcentral.